This 71-nucleotide transfer RNA is filed under the name Loxodonta africana (African savanna elephant). It matches the Rfam family "tRNA". Rfam says of the family: Transfer RNA (tRNA) molecules are approximately 80 nucleotides in length. Their secondary structure includes four short double-helical elements and three loops (D, anti-codon, and T loops). Further hydrogen bonds mediate the characteristic L-shaped molecular structure. tRNAs have two regions of fundamental functional importance: the anti-codon, which is responsible for specific mRNA codon recognition, and the 3' end, to which the tRNAs corresponding amino acid is attached (by aminoacyl-tRNA synthetases). tRNAs cope with the degeneracy of the genetic code in two manners: having more than one tRNA (with a specific anti-codon) for a particular amino acid; and 'wobble' base-pairing, i.e. permitting non-standard base-pairing at the 3rd anti-codon position. Lineage: Eukaryota; Metazoa; Chordata; Mammalia; Proboscidea; Elephantidae. The record is from Rfam by way of RNAcentral.
ACAUAGGUGGCUCAGUGGUCGAAUUCUGGCCUUCCAAGCAGGAGACCCGGGUUAGAUUCCUGGCCAAUGCA